UACUUCGGAAAUAGUUAGGUGAUGAGAC
RNAcentral lists this non-coding RNA (28 nucleotides) under Bombyx mori (domestic silkworm). Lineage: Eukaryota; Metazoa; Arthropoda; Insecta; Lepidoptera; Bombycidae. The record is from RNAcentral.